AACGAUCGUUUUCCACAUAAUUGUAAACACAGAAAUCUUUUCAGCUAUGAGUGUGCUAAGUGAUUUUUAAAAUAAGUAAUUUUUGCUUAAAAAAUCUUAAAUAAAUCUAUAUUUUGAAUUAAAUUGAAUGUCAGUAGUGUAAUUUUCAAUAUGUGAAGUGAAAAAUGUGAAAAAAUAGUGUUACAGUGUGUGAAAUUCCAUGUGUUACUUAUAGGAAAAAUUGGACAUUUAAACAUGAAUAUUUUAAAAACUAUAAGUCCAAUCAAGAAUAUUUAUAUAUAUGCCUACUCUGGAGAGCCUUCUCUUUCCACCGAUACCCCAUUUAUACAGAUCGGAGUUGUCACACCCCGACCGCCAAAUAAUCGGAAUCGUGCCACGGCGAAUACCGCAGACGAUGGAACGAUGAGCUGUACAAUUUAUACGACGACAUUGACAUAGUUCAGCGAAUAAAAAGACAGCGGCUAAUUUCCAUAAUGUGGAAUUGAAGAGGGUGAUACAAUAAUACUUCAUCGCACUGCCAAUUCGAAGAGCGCAGGUACGCAGCCUAAUUGGUGUCACUUAUUUUUGCAAUAUUUUUGGACUUACCGGCACCUCAGUUGGCCGUGCCAUUAGCAGCUAAAACACAGAAAUUAAAGGGAGGACUUUUUUGAUUCAUUUUCAUAUUGAGGAAUCAUAACGUUGUUGUAUCGCUUUACAAUAAUAAGGAUUCACGGCAAUUAGAUCAAUGGAAUGACUACAGCAAGAGCAUGGAUGUUAAGACUAGAACGGUGCCGUGUUAUAUUUAGAAUUCCUGAAACAAGAAACCCUCCUCCCAGAUGAAUCUAGUACUAGUGAAAUUAAUGAAAGCACAGAUCUUAUAAAAACUCCGAAAGAAACCAAAAGAGUCCUCACAUAAUGUGCGCAGCUUACACUUCCAGACCGCACGGGGUAUUUGACAUUUUCCACUCUUCCUCCUGCCUUUGUCCGAUAUCAAAAAUUGUUCAAAUAUUCAUUUUCAUAUGUAUAUAGUGUAGUACGAUAAUAUAUCUAUAAAGUAAAUAUAAUAAUAAACAACUAAAUGGCAUGAUAUUUUCAACAAA
Zeugodacus cucurbitae (melon fly) is the source of this 1079-nucleotide long non-coding RNA. RefSeq lists it as uncharacterized. The record is from RefSeq and is a predicted model, not a curated record. The transcript has 3 exons. NCBI's taxonomy places the organism in Eukaryota, Metazoa, Arthropoda, Insecta, Diptera, Tephritidae.